This 747-nucleotide non-coding RNA is filed under the name Prismognathus prossi. The record is from RNAcentral. Lineage: Eukaryota; Metazoa; Arthropoda; Insecta; Coleoptera; Lucanidae.
ACAAAGUUUUAUUAAAGCUUAAAAAUUAAAUAUAUGGUGACCCUACAUGUAAAGAUUAAUUUAGAAAGUACAUGAGCAGUAGGUAGAUUUGCUUAUUAAGGUAACUUAGAAUUAGAUACCCAUAUUUUCACUAACAAAUUUUGUGCCAGCAGUUGCGGUUAGACAUAAAGUGUUAUUUAAUUUUGUUCGGUAAGUAAUAAUUUUAUAAUUGAAAUUUAAAUUUAGGAUUUUAAGGUGGAAUUUUAUUUCUAAUGUAAUAAAUGUAAAGGAAAGAUUUACUAAAUUCUUUAAAAAACUAGGAUUAGAUACCCUAUUAUUUUGAAUGUAAAGAUUAAAUUCCUGAGUAGUAUUAGUUUAUUCUUGAAAUUUAAAUAAUUUGGCGGUGUUUUAGCCUAUUUAGAGGAACCUGUCCUAUAAUUGAUAUUCCACGAUUAAUCUAACUUAAUUUUUAAGCUUGCAUAUCGUCGUUAUUUGAAUAUCUCUUGAGUGUAUAAAUUUUCGAUAUUUAUAAUUAUAAGUUAAAUCAGAUCAAGGUACAGUAGAUAGUUGAGAAGUGAUGGGUUACAAUAAAUAUAUUUAUGGAUUAUGAUAUGAAAUUAUUAUAUGAAAUUGGAUUUGACAGUAAAUUUAUUAAUAUAAUUAAAUUGACUUUAGCUCUAAAAUAUGCACAUAUCGCCCGUCGCUCCAACUUUAAAGUUGGAUAAGUCGUAACAAAGUAGGUGUACUGGAAAGUGUGCCUGGGAAGAC